GUCCUAGCCCUAAACGAUGAUUGCUUGGUGUGUCGGGUACCCAAUCCCGCCGUGCCGAAGCUAACGCGAUAAGCAAUCCGCCUGGGGAGUACGGUCGCAAGACUGAAACUCAAAGGAAUUGACGGGGGCCCGCACAAGCGGUGGAGCAUGUGGUUCAAUUCGACGCAACGCGAAGAACCUUACCUGGGCUCGAAAUGUAGUGGACCGGGGUGGAAACAUCCCUUCCCGCAAGGGCUGCUAUAUAGGUGCUGCAUGGCUGUCGU
Molecule: ribosomal RNA, 263 nt
Filed under: uncultured bacterium
Lineage: Bacteria
Description: partial 16S ribosomal RNA
Rfam family: Bacterial small subunit ribosomal RNA
Source: RNAcentral